CAGCAGCCGCGGGAAUACGGAGGGUGCAAGCGUUAAUCGGAAUUACUGGGCGUAAAGCGCACGCAGGCGGUCUGUCAAGUCAGAUGUGAAAUCCCCGGGCUUAACCUGGGAACUGCAUUUGAAACUGGCAGGCUAGAGUCUUGUAGAGGGGGGUAGAAUUCCAGGUGUAGCGGUGAAAUGCGUAGAGAUCUGGAGGAAUACCGGUGGCGAAGGCGGCCCCCUGGACAAAGACUGACGCUCAGGUGCGAAAGCGUGGGGAGCAAACAGGAUUAGAGACCCCGGUAGUCCCUGUCUCUUAUAA
Molecule: ribosomal RNA, 301 nt
Filed under: uncultured bacterium
Lineage: Bacteria
Description: partial 16S ribosomal RNA
Rfam family: Bacterial small subunit ribosomal RNA
Source: RNAcentral